UUUUGGGGUAUUUUGUGGAAAUAUCGCAAAAGUAGAGGCCGCGUCCAGUACUCCAGUGAGUUAGAUGUUAGCCGUUGGAUCGAGUUGUGCUGCGUUGCGCUGCGCCGUCCAUUCAUCCCCCACGCCUUCGACCAAUCCGCCGCCGCCUCGUCGGCGCUUCCACCGCUUCUCUCGCCGGAGAGAUGGCCGCCGCCGCGACGCCCCCCUCCCUUCGUCUGCUUCAAGUGGCCAUGGCCUUGCGGCGACCUCGAGCUUCCCUGGCUCUUCAAGUCCAUCCGCACAUUGGCGCAGGGCCGCCUCGUCGCCGGGGACCUCCCCUCCCCCUCGUCGGACGGAGGAGGCGGCGGUGGGGGUGAGGAGGAGGAGGAGGAUCCCCGGGUUGGCGGCGGAGGUGGAGCAGCGGGCGCUGGCGGGCGGCAGGGACGCGGCCGUGCUGGAGUUCUACUCCCCGUGGCUCCGCCUGUGCGCGUCGCUGCAGGGGCUCGUGCGAGAGCUCGAGGACGGCGCCGGCGGGUGGACCGGCUUCGCGAUCGCCGACGCCGAGGACGACCGGUGGCUCGCCGAGCUAGCAUCAUGUCAACCAUUGUGUGAGCAGUGUUGGGGCAGGGGUGUCGCAGCUCAUUGGGUUAGUGCAGCAGGAAGUGUUAAGCCAGAGCCGCUGGAGAUGGGAGGAGGAAGGCAGGGUGCGGGCGAGGCGCAAAGGAGAUGCUCAUUGGUGGGGAGAAUGGGAGGAACUCAGAUCAAGUGGUCAUGGAAGGAAAGGGCUGUAAAGGCUGGGUGCUGAUUGACUUGAUGGUGAACACAUGGUGGAGGAUGUGCGUCCCCAACAACUCCAGCCUCCAGUUUUUCAACAUUGUCGAUCACGCCAAGACAGCCAUUGAUGCAAGGUUUGCCUCCCCGCAACUCGUCGUGCUCUCCACCCUGCGGAGCGCUCUUCGCCAAGUGCGCCAAAAAGCUGUUCAUGCUCUUCAUCUCCUCCUUGAUGAACUGCACGUCGUCCCGGACGCCACCGAGAAGAGCCGCCUCGUUGCGGAUGAUCGCCAGCAGUGAGCUCACGGCGCCAGACGCGAGCUCAGUCAUGGCCCCCCUUUUUUUUUUUAACUAGGGAAUGAAAGCCCAAGCUGAAACUAAACAAAGGACAAAAAAAAGACCGAAACCGAAAUUACGAUCAAACAGGACCUAUGUCCAGAAGUGACCCAGCAAAGCUAUCCUCAACACAAACGUGAUCAAGCCAGCAGAAAGAAGUGACUGCUGAAGCCCAAAACUCUCCAGAUGACCAAGGUUUCCAUCAAGCUUCUAUUCUUCUGGUGCCAGCCCUCCAUCCAAAUCUUGAGCUUCUAGUCUUCUGGUGAUAGCUCUCCAUCCAAAUCUUGAGAUGUAUUUCACUUGCCACCUGCCUUGUAAAUGGCCCCCAACUGAUGGCUUCAAUUAUUGGUCUUGCUGCCUCGCGGGGGAAGGCUAACUCGCUGGGGUGGUGCCGUAUGGUGGUGGGAUGUGAAUAUAUACUGCCAGCCUCUGAUUUUCGCAAUUAAUUAUCGGAAAAGCUA
RNA transcript from Oryza sativa Japonica Group (Japanese rice), 1547 nucleotides. RefSeq lists it as uncharacterized. Lineage: Eukaryota; Viridiplantae; Streptophyta; Magnoliopsida; Poales; Poaceae. The record is from RefSeq and is a predicted model, not a curated record.